RNAcentral lists this long non-coding RNA (977 nucleotides) under Homo sapiens (human). RNAcentral's name for it is "Pvt1 oncogene". The stretch from base 3 to 180 matches the Rfam family "Pvt1 oncogene conserved region 1". Lineage: Eukaryota; Metazoa; Chordata; Mammalia; Primates; Hominidae. The record is from RNAcentral.
GGCCGAGCACAUGGGCCCGCGGGCCGGGCGGGCUCGGGGCGGCCGGGACGAGGAGGGGCGACGACGAGCUGCGAGCAAAGAUGUGCCCCGGGACCCCCGGCACCUUCCAGUGGAUUUCCUUGCGGAAAGGAUGUUGGCGGUCCCUGUGACCUGUGGAGACACGGCCAGAUCUGCCCUCCAAAUCCUGUUACACCUGGGAUUUAGGCACUUUCAAUCUGAAAAAAUACAUAUCCUUUCAGCACUCUGGACGGACUUGAGAACUGUCCUUACGUGACCUAAAGCUGGAGUAUUUUGAGAUUGGAGAAUUAAGGCCAACAGAGAUUUUGAGAAACACAUUGAAGGAUCUGUUAACACUUGAUAUACCCAAUAAAAGCAGUGGUUGUGCCAGUGCUGAUCUGUCUUGAUGUGAAUGUGAACAAUGGGAACCUGAGCUGAGCAGUUAAUGCUAGGGUGACAGAAACUGGACCUCUCCCAAGACAUGUGACAGAGUAAUACAGCAGCCAACUUCUUCGCCAAAUUAAAGUUUUACAAGAUUUAACCUGUCAUCAAGACCUGGGAUUUUGGUGGACAGAAUAACGGGCUCCCAGAUUCACAAGCCCCACCAAGAGGAUCACCCCAGGAACGCUUGGAGGCUGAGGAGUUCACUGAGGCUACUGCAUCUUGAGACUCAGGAUGAAGACCCAGCUUGGGGCUGUCAAAGGUUUUUUGCAUGUCUGACACCCAUGACUCCACCUGGACCUUAUGGCUCCACCCAGAAGCAAUUCAGCCCAACAGGAGGACAGCUUCAACCCAUUACGAUUUCAUCUCUGCCCCAACCACUCAGCAGCAAGCACCUGUUACCUGUCCACCCCCACCCCUUCCCCCAAACUGCCUUUGAAAAAUCCCUAACCUAUGAGCUUUGAAUAAGAUGAGUACGAACUUCAUCGCCCACGUGGCGUGGCCGGCCUCGUGUCUAUUAAAUUCUUUUUCUACUACAA